Molecule: ribosomal RNA, 566 nt
Filed under: Streptomyces sp. 11CM15
Lineage: Bacteria; Bacillati; Actinomycetota; Actinomycetes; Kitasatosporales; Streptomycetaceae
Description: bacterial SSU rRNA
Rfam family: Bacterial small subunit ribosomal RNA
Source: RNAcentral
AAUCUGCCCUGCACUCUGGGACAAGCCCUGGAAACGGGGUCUAAUACCGGAUAUGACACGGGAUCGCAUGGUCUCCGUGUGGAAAGCUCCGGCGGUGCAGGAUGAGCCCGCGGCCUAUCAGCUUGUUGGUGGGGUGAUGGCCUACCAAGGCGACGACGGGUAGCCGGCCUGAGAGGGCGACCGGCCACACUGGGACUGAGACACGGCCCAGACUCCUACGGGAGGCAGCAGUGGGGAAUAUUGCACAAUGGGCGCAAGCCUGAUGCAGCGACGCCGCGUGAGGGAUGACGGCCUUCGGGUUGUAAACCUCUUUCAGCAGGGAAGAAGCGCGAGUGACGGUACCUGCAGAAGAAGCACCGGCUAACUACGUGCCAGCAGCCGCGGUAAUACGUAGGGUGCGAGCGUUGUCCGGAAUUAUUGGGCGUAAAGAGCUCGUAGGCGGCUUGUCGCGUCGGAUGUGAAAGCCCGGGGCUUAACCCCGGGUCUGCAUUCGAUACGGGCAGGCUAGAGUUCGGCAGGGGAGAUUGGAAUUCCUGGUGUAGCGGUGAAAUGCGCAGAUAUCAGGA